ACUGUGAUUUUGCUUUGUAGUAUAUGUAUGGUGCACCUAAACCUGAAGAGGAUUCAGCUCUGAAGAGGAUGUUGGGUGGACAUUUUGAUGUCACUAAAGAGAAGAGACCAAUGGAUAUAAAGAAGACACCAUUUGUUCC
Orbicella faveolata is the source of this 139-nucleotide long non-coding RNA. The record is from RefSeq and is a predicted model, not a curated record. Lineage: Eukaryota; Metazoa; Cnidaria; Anthozoa; Scleractinia; Merulinidae.